This 30-nucleotide non-coding RNA is filed under the name Homo sapiens (human). The record is from RNAcentral. Lineage: Eukaryota; Metazoa; Chordata; Mammalia; Primates; Hominidae.
GCAUAGUCCCGAGGAUCUGCAUGGGCCUUC